GGUGAACGCUGGCGGUGGGCCUAACACAUGCAAGUCGAGCGACCACACAAUGAGCGCUCGCUCUUACGGGUGGCGGGGGACGGACGGGUGAGACAUACAUAGGCAACUACUUAUUCGGGGGGGAUACCGGGGGGAAGCGUACGCUAAUGCCGCAUACGUACUACGGGAGGAAGCAAAAGAGAUUGAGGGCUUGCCUAACAGAAAGAGACGAUGCCGGGCCGGAUUAGCUAGUUGGUAAGGUAACGGCCUACCAAGGCAACGAUCCGUAGCUGACCUGAGAGGGUGAUCGGCCACACUGGAACUGAGACACGGUCCAGACUCCUACGGGAGGCAGCAGUGGGGAAUCUUGCACAAAGGGCGCAAGCCUGACGCAGCCACACCGCGUGGGUGAUGAAGGUCUUCGGGUCGUAAAGCUCUUUUGUUGGGAAAGAACAGAAGCAUAAUAAACUCUCGAUGUCUUGACGGUACCCAAACAAUAAGCCCCGGCUAACUUCGUG
This 497-nucleotide ribosomal RNA is filed under the name uncultured bacterium. Its description in RNAcentral is "partial 16S ribosomal RNA". It matches the Rfam family "Bacterial small subunit ribosomal RNA", at positions 28 to 507 of the family's 1533-position model. The record is from RNAcentral.